RNAcentral lists this ribosomal RNA (443 nucleotides) under uncultured bacterium. RNAcentral's name for it is "partial 16S ribosomal RNA". It matches the Rfam family "Bacterial small subunit ribosomal RNA", at positions 338 to 795 of the family's 1533-position model. The record is from RNAcentral.
CCUACGGGAGGCUGCAGUGGGGAAUAUUGGGCAAUGGGCGCAAGCCUGACCCAGCAACGCCGCGUGAAGGAAGAAGGCUUUCGGGUUGUAAACUUCUUUUCUCAGGGACGAAGCAAGUGACGGUACCUGAGGAAUAAGCCACGGCUAACUACGUGCCAGCAGCCGCGGUAAUACGUAGGUGGCAAGCGUUAUCCGGAUUUACUGGGUGUAAAGGGCGUGUAGGCGGGAAAGCAAGUCAGAUGUGAAAACCAUGGGCUCAACCUGUGGCCUGCAUUUGAAACUGUUUUUCUUGAGUACUGGAGAGGCAGACGGAAUUCCUAGUGUAGCGGUGAAAUGCGUAGAUAUUAGGAGGAACACCAGUGGCGAAGGCGGUCUGCUGAACAGCAACUGACGCUGAGGCGCGAAAGCGUGGGGAGCAAACAGGAGUAGAUACCCCAGUAGUC